UACAGAGGGUGCGAGCGUUGUCCGGAAUCACUGGGCGUAAAGGGCGCGUAGGCGGGCUGUCGCGUCUGGGGUGAAAUCCUCCGGCUCAACCGGGGAAGGGCCUCGGGUACGGACGGCCUCGAGGGGGGUAGGGGCGUGCGGAACUGUGGGUGGAGCGGUGAAAUGCGUUGAUAUCCACAGGAACUCCGGUGGCGAAGGCGGCACGCUGGACCCUCACUGACGCUGAGGCGCGAAAGCCAGGGGAGCGAACGGG
Molecule: ribosomal RNA, 253 nt
Filed under: uncultured bacterium
Lineage: Bacteria
Description: partial 16S ribosomal RNA
Rfam family: Bacterial small subunit ribosomal RNA
Source: RNAcentral